RNAcentral lists this ribosomal RNA (494 nucleotides) under uncultured bacterium. RNAcentral's name for it is "partial 16S ribosomal RNA". It matches the Rfam family "Bacterial small subunit ribosomal RNA", at positions 28 to 507 of the family's 1533-position model. The record is from RNAcentral.
GACGAACGCUGGCGGCGUGCUUAACACAUGCAAGUCGAACGGUGAAGCGCCUUCCUUUUUGGUGGGUGUGGAUGAGUGGCGAACGGGUGAGUAACACGUGAGUAACCUGCCCCCUUCUUCUGGAUAACCGCAUGAAAGUGUGGCUAAUACGGGAUAUUCUGGGUCUGUCGCAUGAUGGGUCUGGGAAAGAUAUUGUUUCGGUGGGGGAUGGGCUCGCGGCCUAUCAGCUUGUUGGUGGGGUGAUGGCUUACCAAGGCGGUGACGGGUAGCCGGCCUGAGAGGGUCGACGGUCACACUGGGACGGAGACACGGCCCAGACUCCUACGGGAGGCAGCAGUGGGGAAUAUGGCACAGUGGGCGGAAGCCUGAUGCAGCGACGCCACGGGAGGGAUGGAGGCCUGCGGGUUGUGAACCUCUUUCGCCAGUGAAGCAGGCCUGCCUCGUUUGUGGGUGGGUUGACGGUAGCUGGAUAAGAAGCGCCGGCUAACUACGUG